CCUACGGGGGGCAGCAGUGGGGAAUAUUGGGCAAUGGACGCAAGUCUGACCCAGCAACGCCGCGUGAAGGAAGAAGGCUUUCGGGUUGUAAACUUCUUUUAAGGGGGAAGAGCAGAAGACGGUACCCCUUGAAUAAGCCACGGCUAACUACGUGCCAGCAGCCGCGGUAAUACGUAGGUGGCAAGCGUUGUCCGGAUUUACUGGGUGUAAAGGGCGUGCAGCCGGAGAGACAAGUCAGAUGUGAAAUCCACGGGCUCAACCCGUGAACUGCAUUUGAAACUGUUUCCCUUGAGUGUCGGAGAGGUAAGAGGAAUUCCUAGGGUAGCGGUGAAAUGCGUAGAUAUUAGGAGGAACACCAGUGGCGAAGGCGUCUUACUGGACCGAAACUGACGUUGAGGCUCGAAAGCGUGGGGAGCAAACAGGAUUAGAUACCCGAGUAGUC
RNAcentral lists this ribosomal RNA (442 nucleotides) under uncultured bacterium. Its description in RNAcentral is "partial 16S ribosomal RNA". It matches the Rfam family "Bacterial small subunit ribosomal RNA", at positions 338 to 795 of the family's 1533-position model. The record is from RNAcentral.